Molecule: ribosomal RNA, 512 nt
Filed under: uncultured bacterium
Lineage: Bacteria
Description: bacterial SSU rRNA
Rfam family: Bacterial small subunit ribosomal RNA
Source: RNAcentral
CGCUGGCGGCGUGCUUAACACAUGCAAGUCGAACGGAGAUUAUUAAUGAAGCUUGCGAUUUAAUAAUCUUAGUGGCGGACGGGUGAGUAACGCGUGGGCAACCUACCCAUAAGCGGGGGAUAACAGUUGGAAACGACUGCUAAUACCGCAUAAGCUAUUGAGGUCGCAUGACCUAAAUAGUAAAGGUGGCGAAAGCUAUCACUUAUGGAUGGGCCCGCGUCUGAUUAGCUAGUUGGUGGGAUAGCAGCCUACCAAGGCAACGAUCAGUAGCCGGCCUGAGAGGGUGGACGGCCACACUGGGACUGAGACACGGCCCAGACUCCUACGGGAGGCAGCAGUGGGGAAUAUUGCGCAAUGGGGGAAACCCUGACGCAGCGACGCCGCGUGAGCGAAGAAAAGGCCUUAGGGUCGUAAAGCUCUGUUGUAAGGGACGAAUGUUUAUCUGGCGAACAGUCAGAUAAAGUGACGGUACCUUACCAGCAAGCCCCGGCUAACUACGUGCCAGCAGCAGC